AUUCCGUGUUGGUUGAGCUUGUCUAAGGUAGGUGUCCUUGCUAGGUGAGCUUCUGCUUUAAAGCAUCACGUUGUAAUUUUAAAAGCAAGGUUGCCAGUUCUUUUUUUACCCAAGUGAUUUUUUAGCACGGAGAGAUUUCAGAUGCUGUUUGGUAAUGGAAGAUGGAGAGAGGAAAAGCAAGUAAAAGGCACGCUGUGCAUAGCCAGCGCAUCCCAUGUGCACCGUUGUCCCCCUGCACAAAGGAGAGGAGCAUCUCAGCAAGCUUGUCCUGGGCCAUGGAAGGGAUCAUACAAACAUCUGGACCGACGCGACAGGAGUUAGUUCUGCAGCUGUCGCAACGCUUUGAUCCCCUGCUGCUGGGCUGGGGCGUUUGAGGAAUGAUGCAUGUGCUGAUGUCCACCAGGCUUUGGGGAUGAGUCUGCGUAGCAGGGAGGGCAGGUGGUGAAGCUCAUGAAGCAAUGCCUGCAGAUGGGGUUUGCAGAGCAAGAGGUCCGUCCUGCAGGCCUUGUGUGACACGCAUGGAGCUGUAGCGAGGCUGCAUCAGUGUAAAACAGCAGAAAUGCACGGAGGUGUGAAGGAAUCUCUGUGUGUUUUUUAGUGAAGAACAAACUCUGUGUUCAGUUGUGAAUGAAUGAAUUCAGGCCUGCUAGUUGGUGUUCUUCUCUACACGGAGCCGCAAUUGAAAUGGACGCUCCUGGUGUGAUGUGCGGCCCCGCCCCGUGUUCUCAGAUCCGCCAAGUUGGCAAGGCCUGGCUCUUGGUUGGUGAGCUGUGCCCAGGUGAUAACCAUGGAAGCAUGGAAGCGUUACCCAGACAGACUGAGCAUUUGUCACCUGGGCAUUCUACAGAUGACAUAGGCAGUGGAAGUCAGCAUUGGAAGCAUGCGUGAGACCCCUGCAAAAGACUGGUGAAAGAGAUGGCUGCUCUAAGCCGCCCUUGAAGGGCACAAAGAAGGACCCUAGUGUGGAUUUGCCAUCGGCCCAGCAAGAGGCUCAACAGCACCGAGCGCCGUGUCGUGCACUUUGGUCAUGCCAACCCCAUGCCAGCUUCUCCAGGAUUUGGCUGGGAUAGAAUUCCAACCACCAACGGAUUUCUCGAACGCUGGGGUGCCCUUUUGGAAUCCUAUGGUCUUGUGACGUGGUCUUGCCUCCCCACCUUGCCCAUCCAUGGUGGAGCAGCCGGGUGGCCCUUAGUGAUGUCACAAGCGGCUAGAAUGAGGGGAGGAGCAGCGCGUGCUGCUUCCCUUCAUUGGAGCGCUUGAGCUCAGCGUGAGUACGUGGCUUGUUGCACUUGUGCAUCGAGUGAGUCUGUUCGUCUUCAGCCCGUCUUGCGCAGCGUCUUGUAGGUAAGCUGAGCCGGUGCGGGAUAGACGGGUGGGCAGCGAGGGCUUGAGAAGUGCUGGCUGGCGGAGCUCCUAGGAUCAUAUUGCUUAGUCUGGACCGUCAGACGCCAUUUUCCCGCAGGCCAUCCAUCCAUC
Long non-coding RNA from Gallus gallus (chicken), 1476 nucleotides. RefSeq lists it as uncharacterized. The record is from RefSeq and is a predicted model, not a curated record. NCBI's taxonomy places the organism in Eukaryota, Metazoa, Chordata, Aves, Galliformes, Phasianidae. The transcript has 6 exons.